UUAAAGGAUCACACUUUUACCCAAAUGUUUUUCCAUCGAUAUUGACGGUGACCACUCUUAGCGUGAACAUGAUUGUUUUAAACAUUGAAUCCAGCGCCUGCACCAAUUAAUGUCCGGAUUGGAGUUAGAAUCUGACGUACCUCAGUACCUGACGAGGAUGUUGAUGUUAAAUCUUAGGUUUUUGUAUCCAAAUCGGAGGAAAAAGAUAAACAAGCAACCACCUCUUUUCCUGAGAGUUUAGAAAACGAUAGGGUUUUACCAAAAAUAAAUAAUAAUUGAUGGAAUCACAACACACGUUUCAUCUAGUCCUAAUAAUUAUAAAUAUCC
Molecule: long non-coding RNA, 327 nt
Filed under: Capsella grandiflora
Lineage: Eukaryota; Viridiplantae; Streptophyta; Magnoliopsida; Brassicales; Brassicaceae
Description: long non-coding RNA (CGRA_LNC001165)
Source: RNAcentral